UACAUGAUUGAGAAAGGCAAGAUUGUUUUUCUAAAUAUUUUUCCAGCAUGUAGUGCUAUGACUUACUUUUUCCAGGACGAAUCAGCGUUAAAACAUUAAGCAAGAAAGCUAAGAAGGAGCUCAGUCGUGAACAGAGGAAGCACAGAUCAAAGCAAAUUCGUGCAUUUAAAAAGGAGGCAGCUAUUCUACGUAAGCGUGGCUUGGGCACUGCUAACAACCCUCCCUUCCUUGCGACAGUUGUGCCCCUAUGCCCUAAUAUUAACCCCAGGAAGGUAUUAAAAACUCUAGCAGCAUGUGAUAAAGCUGCCACCAUCACCACCAGCUCUCAGGGCAUCAUGCAUAUAAGUUGCCCGCGCUUCAGACAAAGAUUCUCCUUUGUUGUACCACCAGUGAAUGAUCUGUAUGCAGUACUAGAUAGUGUAAAG
Cherax quadricarinatus is the source of this 425-nucleotide non-coding RNA. The record is from RefSeq and is a predicted model, not a curated record. NCBI's taxonomy places the organism in Eukaryota, Metazoa, Arthropoda, Malacostraca, Decapoda, Parastacidae.